This 125-nucleotide small RNA is filed under the name Marmota monax (woodchuck). The record is from RNAcentral. Lineage: Eukaryota; Metazoa; Chordata; Mammalia; Rodentia; Sciuridae.
GCUGGGCACAGUGGCACAGGCCUGUAAUCCCAGCAUCUCAGGAAGCUGAGACAGGAGGAUCCUGAGUUCAAAGCCAGCCUCAGCAAUGGCGAGGUGUUAAGCAACUCGGUGAGACCCUGUCUCUA